AGUGGCGCACGGGUGCGUAACGCGUGGGAACCUGCCUUUAGGUUCGGAAUAACAGUGAGAAAUUACUGCUAAUACCGGAUAAUGUCUUCGGACCAAAGAUUUAUCGCCUUUAGAUGGGCCCGCGUUGGAUUAGCUAGUUGGUGGGGUAAAGGCCUACCAAGGCGACGAUCCAUAGCUGGUCUGAGAGGAUGAUCAGCCACACUGGGACUGAGACACGGCCCAGACUCCUACGGGAGGCAGCAGUGGGGAAUAUUGGACAAUGGGCGAAAGCCUGAUCCAGCAAUGCCGCGUGAGUGAUGAAGGCCUUAGGGUUGUAAAGCUCUUUUACCCGAGAUGAUAAUGACAGUAUCGGGAGAAUAAGCUCCGGCUAACUCCGUGCCAGCAGCCGCGGUAAUACGGAGGGAGCUAGCGUUGUUCGGAAUUACUGGGCGUAAAGCGCACGUAGGCGGCUUUUUAAGUCAGAGGUGAAAUCCCGGGGCUCAACCCCGGAACUGCCUUUGAAACUGGAAAGCUAGAAUCUUGGAGAGGCGAGUGGAAUUCCGAGUGUAGAGGUGAAAUUCGUAGAUAUUCGGAAGAACACCAGUGGCGAAGGCGGCUCGCUGGACAAGUAUUGACGCUGAGGUGCGAAAGCGUGGGAGCAAACAGGAUUAGAUACCCUGGUAGUCCACGCCGUAAACGAUGAUAACUAGCUGUCCGGGUUCAUAGAACCUGGGUGGCGCAGCUAACGCAUUAAGUUAUCCGCCUGGGGAGUACGGUCGCAAGAUUAAAACUCAAAGGAAUUGACGGGGGCC
Molecule: ribosomal RNA, 791 nt
Filed under: Erythrobacter ramosus
Lineage: Bacteria; Pseudomonadati; Pseudomonadota; Alphaproteobacteria; Sphingomonadales; Erythrobacteraceae
Description: bacterial SSU rRNA
Rfam family: Bacterial small subunit ribosomal RNA
Source: RNAcentral